RNAcentral lists this ribosomal RNA (219 nucleotides) under Campylobacter jejuni. RNAcentral describes it as "partial 23S ribosomal RNA". It matches the Rfam family "Bacterial large subunit ribosomal RNA", at positions 1 to 236 of the family's 2925-position model. RNAcentral also lists the same sequence under 1 other name. Lineage: Bacteria; Pseudomonadati; Campylobacterota; Epsilonproteobacteria; Campylobacterales; Campylobacteraceae. The record is from RNAcentral.
AGGUAAGCUACUAAGAGCGAAUGGUGGAUGCCUUGACUGGUAAAGGCGAUGAAGGACGUACUAGACUGCGAUAAGCUACGGGGAGCUGUCAAGAAGCUUUGAUCCGUAGAUUUCCGAAUGGGGCAACCCAAUGUAUAGAGAUAUACAUUACCUAUAUAGGAGCGAACGAGGGGAAUUGAAACAUCUUAGUACCCUCAGGAAAAGAAAUCAAUAGAGAUU